AGUGUGCUCUUUGCUCUAUACGCAUGCAGUACUAUUUGGUGGAGAAAACAACCAUAGUUGAUUGCCGUAUUCAUUUACAGGUGGAGAAAGCAACCAUUGUUGAUUACCAUCUACCCUAUUUGAAUUACACUUUUUUGGGUUAAAGAUCUUGAAAUAACUUUUCUACCUCGCAAAAUAGGAGUAAGAUCUAUGUAUAUUAUACUAUAUCCUCAAAACUUACUUGUGAAACUUUAUUAAAUCUGUUAUUAUUGUUACUACUGAUUAAUAGAGAGUUUGAGCAUAGGUAUAACAGACAAUAUUCUUGAAAUUUUUUUGUUAUUGUUCGGUUUCUACAAUGUUUAUUGUUUAUGCUUUGUAAAAUAGGAUUCAACAAAUAUAUUUUUUAUUUUUGGUUAGUUUGUUAUAAAGAACAUAAUUUUUGCAACAAUGCACAAUAAUUACAUUAUUAAUUAUUUUAUGUUACUAAUGGUUUUUUUAAAAAAAGAAAAAUUAAACCGAUGGUAGAUGAAUGUUUGAUCGGAUUUUGAGAAAAACUAUUUGUAAAGAUUUGGUUUAAUUUCAUUAUUUUGAUAUCUCUAUUAUCGAAUUAUUUUGUUAUAAUUUAUAGGUGGUAGAAAAUGUUGGUCAGCUUUGAGGAAUUUUUUAUAUAAAGAUUGAUAUAUUGACUAUCAUAUUGUUUAAUUGUAGUUUAUGAGCUUCAGGUUUUAGAAAAGUAGGUUAGUUUAUAUAUAUGUUGUAUGGUGUUUGUGCAGGGAGGCUUUAAUCUUGGAGAUCUGUUAUUUCAUUGAGCAACCAAAAUCUGAAAAGGAAUUUUACUAAGACUCUUCUUCCCACUAAGUUGGUCGGUCUGGACAUGCAACACAACGCCAAGGCCAGUGGCGGAUUCAGGAAUUUUCUUCAGGGGGUUAGAAAAAUAAAAAUAUAAAUGUGUGAAUAAGCCAAUAAAAUAUAAUUUCAAG
This 959-nucleotide long non-coding RNA is filed under the name Capsicum annuum. RNAcentral describes it as "long non-coding RNA (CANN_LNC006321)". Lineage: Eukaryota; Viridiplantae; Streptophyta; Magnoliopsida; Solanales; Solanaceae. The record is from RNAcentral.